UACGGAGGGUGCGAGCGUUGUCCGGAAUCAUUGGGCGUAAAGGGCGCGUAGGUGGCGGGACAAGCGUGCGGUGAAAGCUCGGGGCUCAACCCCGAGUCGGCCGUGCGAACUGUUUUGCUUGAGCACUGUAGAGGCAGGCGGAAUUCCGGGUGUAGCGGUGGAAUGCGUAGAGAUCCGGAAGAACACCGGUGGCGAAGGCGGCCUGCUGGGCAGUAGCUGACACUGAGGCGCGAAAGCGUGGGGAGCGAACAGG
RNAcentral lists this ribosomal RNA (253 nucleotides) under uncultured bacterium. Its description in RNAcentral is "partial 16S ribosomal RNA". It matches the Rfam family "Bacterial small subunit ribosomal RNA", at positions 524 to 776 of the family's 1533-position model. The record is from RNAcentral.